AUUGAACGCUGGCGGCAUGCCUUACACAUGCAAGUCGAACGGUAACAGGUCUUCGGAUGCUGACGAGUGGCGAACGGGUGAGUAAUACAUCGGAACGUGCCUAGUAGUGGGGGAUAACUACUCGAAAGAGUGGCUAAUACCGCAUGAGAUCUACGGAUGAAAGCAGGGGAUCGAAAGACCUUGUGCUACUAGAGCGGCCGAUGGCAGAUUAGGUAGUUGGUGGGAUAAAAGCUUACCAAGCCGACGAUCUGUAGCUGGUCUGAGAGGACGAUCAGCCACACUGGGACUGAGACACGGCCCAGACUCCUACGGGAGGCAGCAGUGGGGAAUUUUGGACAAUGGGCGAAAGCCUGAUCCAGCAAUGCCGCGUGCAGGAUGAAGGCCUUCGGGUUGUAAACUGCUUUUGUACGGAACGAAAAGCCCUGGGUUAAUACCCUGGGGUCAUGACGGUACCGUAAGAAUAAGCACCGGCUAACUACGUGCCAGCCGCCGCAGUAA
This 498-nucleotide ribosomal RNA is filed under the name uncultured bacterium. RNAcentral's name for it is "partial 16S ribosomal RNA". It matches the Rfam family "Bacterial small subunit ribosomal RNA", at positions 30 to 523 of the family's 1533-position model. The record is from RNAcentral.